GAGGUUAAGCGACUAAGCGUACACGGUGGAUGCCCUGGCAGUCAGAGGCGAUGAAGGACGUGCUAAUCUGCGAUAAGCGUCGGUGAGGUGAUAUGAACCGUUAUAACCGGCGAUUUCCGAAUGGGGAAACCCAGUGUGUUUCGACACACUAUCAUUAACUGAAUCCAUAGGUUAAUGAGGCGAACCGGGGGAACUGAAACAUCUAAGUACCCCGAGGAAAAGAAAUCAACCGAGAUUCCCCCAGUAGCGGCGAGCGAACGGGGAGGAGCCCAGAGCCUGAAUCAGUGUGUGUGUUAGUGGAAGCGUCUGGAAAGGCGCGCGAUACAGGGUGACAGCCCCGUACACAAAAAUGCACAUGCUGUGAGCUCGAUGAGUAGGGCGGGACACGUGGUAUCCUGUCUGAAUAUGGGGGGACCAUCCUCCAAGGCUAAAUACUCCUGACUGACCGAUAGUGAACCAGUACCGUGAGGGAAAGGCGAAAAGAACCCCGGCGAGGGGAGUGAAAAAGAACCUGAAACCGUGUACGUACAAGCAGUGGGAGCCUCUUAAUGGGGUGACUGCGUACCUUUUGUAUAAUGGGUCAGCGACUUAUAUUCUGUAGCAAGGUUAACCGAAUAGGGGAGCCGAAGGGAAACCGAGUCUUAACUGGGCGUUAAGUUGCAGGGUAUAGACCCGAAACCCGGUGAUCUAGCCAUGGGCAGGUUGAAGGUUGGGUAACACUAACUGGAGGACCGAACCGACUAAUGUUGAAAAAUUAGCGGAUGACUUGUGGCUGGGGGUGAAAGGCCAAUCAAACCGGGAGAUAGCUGGUUCUCCCCGAAAGCUAUUUAGGUAGCGCCUCGUGAAUUCAUCUCCGGGGGUAGAGCACUGUUUCGGCAAGGGGGUCAUCCCGACUUACCAACCCGAUGCAAACUGCGAAUACCGGAGAAUGUUAUCACGGGAGACACACGGCGGGUGCUAACGUCCGUCGUGAAGAGGGAAACAACCCAGACCGCCAGCUAAGGUCCCAAAGUCAUGGUUAAGUGGGAAACGAUGUGGGAAGGCCCAGACAGCCAGGAUGUUGGCUUAGAAGCAGCCAUCAUUUAAAGAAAGCGUAAUAGCUCACUGGUCGAGUCGGCCUGCGCGGAAGAUGUAACGGGGCUAAACCAUGCACCGAAGCUGCGGCAGCGACGCUUAUGCGUUGUUGGGUAGGGGAGCGUUCUGUAAGCCUGUGAAGGUGUGCUGUGAGGC
This 1230-nucleotide ribosomal RNA is filed under the name Escherichia coli. RNAcentral's name for it is "partial 23S ribosomal RNA". It matches the Rfam family "Bacterial large subunit ribosomal RNA", at positions 1 to 1269 of the family's 2925-position model. The record is from RNAcentral. Lineage: Bacteria; Pseudomonadati; Pseudomonadota; Gammaproteobacteria; Enterobacterales; Enterobacteriaceae.